UGGAAGAUCAUCGCCUCCGGUGGGGCGGCUGGGCUUCAAAUCCAGAUGGGAGCCGCCAGCGACCCUCGGCAGGUUCGACUCCUAUGUUCUCCUCC
RNAcentral lists this transfer RNA (95 nucleotides) under Xenorhabdus ishibashii. RNAcentral's name for it is "tRNA-Sec". It matches the Rfam family "Selenocysteine transfer RNA". Lineage: Bacteria; Pseudomonadati; Pseudomonadota; Gammaproteobacteria; Enterobacterales; Morganellaceae. The record is from RNAcentral.